This 229-nucleotide long non-coding RNA is filed under the name Phoenix dactylifera (date palm). Its description in RNAcentral is "long non-coding RNA (PDAC_LNC010072)". The record is from RNAcentral. Lineage: Eukaryota; Viridiplantae; Streptophyta; Magnoliopsida; Arecales; Arecaceae.
CAAGGCCUUGUAACUGUAUACCAGCCUUUGUUGGACCUUCGACAGCCCUGCAGUAAGAGAUUGUGCCCAGCUAAUCUUCCUCAAUUUCUCUGUCAAUUUUUUAUAUGGUUAACCAUAAUUUUUUUUUCUUCCUAUGUGAUAGUAAGUAACUGAAAUCAUCGAAGUAUUCCUUUACCUUAUUACCAACAACUCAUAAGUAACCUGUAACCUGUAUAACAAAUCCCCUUUC